Molecule: microRNA precursor, 162 nt
Filed under: Oryza brachyantha (malo sina)
Lineage: Eukaryota; Viridiplantae; Streptophyta; Magnoliopsida; Poales; Poaceae
Description: MIR812 microRNA precursor family
Rfam family: MIR812 microRNA precursor family
Source: Rfam by way of RNAcentral
UACAUGUUUUGACUCUUCGUCUUAUUUAAAAUUUUUUGCGAUUAAUAUUUUCGUUGUCACUAGAUGGUAAACAUGAAUAGUAUUUUACACGUGACUAAUUUUUUUAAGUUUUUUAUAAAAAUUUUAAAUAAGAUGAAUGAUCAAAUUUUGAACACAAAAAUC